This 253-nucleotide ribosomal RNA is filed under the name uncultured bacterium. Its description in RNAcentral is "partial 16S ribosomal RNA". It matches the Rfam family "Bacterial small subunit ribosomal RNA", at positions 524 to 776 of the family's 1533-position model. The record is from RNAcentral.
CACGUAGGGGACGAGCGUUGUCCGGACUCAUUGGGCGUAAAGCGCGCGUAGGCGGCCCGGCAAGUCGGAUGUGAAAACCUGGGGCUCAACCCCAGGCGUGCACCCGAUACUCCCGGGCUGGAGGCAGGUAGGGGAGAUCGGAAUUCCUGGUGUAGCGGUGAAAUGCGCAGAUAUCAGGAGGAACACCGGUGGCGAAGGCGGAUCUCUGGGCCUUGCCUGACGCUGAGGCGCGAAAGCUAGGGGAGCGAACAGG